Molecule: ribosomal RNA, 118 nt
Filed under: Thauera aromatica K172
Lineage: Bacteria; Pseudomonadati; Pseudomonadota; Betaproteobacteria; Rhodocyclales; Zoogloeaceae
Source: RNAcentral
AGUCUGACGACCAUAGCCGUGCGGUACCACCCCUUCCCUUCCCGAACAGGACCGUGAAACGCACUCGCGCCGAUGAUAGUGAGGUCCGCCCUCGUGAAAGUAGGUCAUCGUCAGACUA